RNAcentral lists this unclassified non-coding RNA (230 nucleotides) under plant metagenome. RNAcentral's name for it is "partial contains small subunit ribosomal RNA, internal transcribed spacer 1, and 5.8S ribosomal RNA". The record is from RNAcentral.
UCUCCGUAGGUGAACCUGCGGAGGGAUCAUUACAGAGUUCAUGCCCUCCGGGUAGAUCUCCCACCCAUUGCUAUAACUACUCUCGUUGCCUUGGCGGGCCGCUGGGCCCUGCCCGGCCGCCGGCCCCGGCUGGCGCGUGCCCGCCAGAGACCUCACAAACUCUGAAUGUUAGUGUCGUCCGAGUAACUAUACAAUCGUUAAAACUUUCAACAACGGAUCUCUUGGUUCUG